RNAcentral lists this ribosomal RNA (253 nucleotides) under uncultured bacterium. Its description in RNAcentral is "partial 16S ribosomal RNA". It matches the Rfam family "Bacterial small subunit ribosomal RNA", at positions 524 to 776 of the family's 1533-position model. The record is from RNAcentral.
UACGGAAGGGGCAAGCGUUGUUCGGAAUUAUUGGGCGUAAAGGGCGCGUAGGUGGUUCUGUAUGUCUACCGUGAAAGCGUACGGCUCAACCGUAUUUUGUCGGUGGAAACUGCAGGACUUGAGGCUGGGAGGGGCUGGUGGAAUUCCCUGUGUAGCGGUGAAAUGCGUAGAGAUGGGGGAGAACACUCGUGGCGAAGGCGGCCAGCUAGACCAGUUCUGACACUGAGGCGCGACAGCGUGGGGAGCAAACAGG